This 483-nucleotide ribosomal RNA is filed under the name uncultured bacterium. Its description in RNAcentral is "bacterial SSU rRNA". It matches the Rfam family "Bacterial small subunit ribosomal RNA", at positions 28 to 521 of the family's 1533-position model. The record is from RNAcentral.
GACGAACGCUGGCGGCGCGCCUAACACAUGCAAGUCGAACGGAGCUUAGAGAGCUUGCUUUUUAAGCUUAGUGGCGAACGGGUGAGUAACGCGUGAGUAACCUGCCCUAGAGUGGGGGACAACAGUUGGAAACGACUGCUAAUACCGCAUAAGCCCACGGUACCGCAUGGUACUGAGGGAAAAGGAUUUAUUCGCUUUAGGAUGGACUCGCGUCCAAUUAGCUAGUUGGUGAGGUAAUGGCCCACCAAGGCGACGAUUGGUAGCCGGACUGAGAGGUUGAACGGCCACAUUGGGACUGAGACACGGCCCAGACUCCUACGGGAGGCAGCAGUGGGGGAUAUUGCACAAUGGGGGGAAACCCUGAUGCAGCGACGCCGCGUGGAGGAAGAAGGUUUUCGGAUUGUAAAACUCCUGUCGUUAGGGACGAUAAUGACGGGUACCUAACAAGAAAGCACCGGCUAACUACGUGCCAGCAGCCGCGGU